GUUCUCAGGGACUCUGCCCUUUGGUCCUACCCAGUAGAUCGAGUGCAGAGUUUUCAAGAAAGACUUGCAGAAGCAGAAAUGGCUCACCCUCAGCCUGGAGCUUUUCAUGACUCUCCAGAAGAAAUGUCAACAGCCUUUUGUUUGGGUGAGCACGCCAAGACUAGCCCAGAGGACUCCUUUAGAUGCACUUGUGUGCCUGUCCUUCUGCACCAAGUCACACACAAGCCAGCUCUUCUGAUGCUCCAAAGCUGCCAUUGGCUCCUUGUAUAGCCUACAGAGCUAACUGUGCAUCGGCCUCCAUCCUGGGCAGGACUGAGGUCUCUUCAGUCUCCCUCUCCCCACUCAGCAGCCAAUCCAGGGCCAGGGCCUUUACAGUUUUACGUAAAUUUCAUCAGAACCCUUUGAUCCAACUAAAGUUUACUUCUCCCAGAUGUUGCAAAACAGCUAUCUUGGCUGCAUUUUUAAAAAUUGUCUUCCCAAUGUCCAGUGUAAUUCUUGGUACUCAAUAAAA
RNAcentral lists this long non-coding RNA (511 nucleotides) under Mus musculus (house mouse). RNAcentral describes it as "RIKEN cDNA 9530034E10 gene (9530034E10Rik)". The record is from RNAcentral. Lineage: Eukaryota; Metazoa; Chordata; Mammalia; Rodentia; Muridae.